This 253-nucleotide ribosomal RNA is filed under the name uncultured bacterium. Its description in RNAcentral is "partial 16S ribosomal RNA". It matches the Rfam family "Bacterial small subunit ribosomal RNA", at positions 524 to 776 of the family's 1533-position model. The record is from RNAcentral.
UACGAAGGGGACUAGCGUUGUUCGGAAUUACUGGGCGUAAAGCGCACGUAGGCGGCUUUGUAAGUUAGAGGUGAAAGCCCGGAGCUCAACUCCGGAAUAGCCUUUAAGACUGCAUCGCUAGAACGUUGGAGAGGUAAGUGGAAUUCCGAGUGUAGAGGUGAAAUUCGUAGAUAUUCGGAAGAACACCAGUGGCGAAGGCGACUUACUGGACAACUGUUGACGCUGAGGUGCGAAAGCGUGGGGAGCAAACAGG